GACGAACGCUGGCGGCGUGCCUAAUACAUGCAAGUCGAGCGGAUUGAUGGGAGCUUGCUCCCUGAUAUCAGCGGCGGACGGGUGAGUAACACGUGGGCAACCUGCCUAUAAGACUGGGAUAACUUCGGGAAACCGGAGCUAAUACCGGAUAAUCCCUUUCCUCUCAUGAGGAAAGGCUGAAAGAUGGUUUACGCUAUCACUUAUAGAUGGGCACGCGGCGCAUUAGCUAGUUGGUGAGGUAACGGCUCACCAAGGCAACGAUGCGUAGCCGACCUGAGAGGGUGAUCGGCCACACUGGGACUGAGACACGGCCCAGACUCCUACGGGAGGCAGCAGUAGGGAAUCUUCCGCAAAGGACGAAAGUCUGACGGAGCAACGCCGCGUGAGUGAUGAAGGUUUUCGGAUCGUAAAACUCUGUUGUUAGGGAAGAACAAGUACGAGAGUAACUGCUCGUACCUUGACGGUACCUAACCAGAAAGCCACGGCUAACUACGUGCCAGCAGCCGCCGCCG
Molecule: ribosomal RNA, 512 nt
Filed under: uncultured bacterium
Lineage: Bacteria
Description: partial 16S ribosomal RNA
Rfam family: Bacterial small subunit ribosomal RNA
Source: RNAcentral